Long non-coding RNA from Daphnia pulicaria, 563 nucleotides. RefSeq lists it as uncharacterized. The transcript is spliced from 3 exons. Lineage: Eukaryota; Metazoa; Arthropoda; Branchiopoda; Diplostraca; Daphniidae. The record is from RefSeq and is a predicted model, not a curated record.
CGUGCAGUCUCAGACGUCGUCGACACAUGCAAUUUGUGACAAGGUGGCAAUUCUCACACCUCCUCCUUUAGGUUGUGUGUGUGUUGUGCCCUAUAUGUGCAUGAGUGUGUCCAGGACGGACCACUCUUAUUUCCAUUUUCCCAUCGAAGACUGGUCCCCAGGAUUGAUGAUGAUGGAUGCCUGAUUGUGUGUCGAUGUUCUGAUUCUGACAGUGACUUGAAGUUACACGACAGACAUUGAUUGCUUUAAAUACAGUCCACUUCUACUUGUCCGACCUCGAGUUAUCAUCUGGUCCUUCGAGCCGGAGCUACCGGCAUCGUUCUGAAUCACGCUGUUCAGCAUUUGAUUCGACUUCGACUGGCGUUGUAGCAGACCUGCCCACGCCUUCAGCAUUUGAUUCGACUUCGACUGGCGUUGUAGCAGACCUGCCCACGCCUUCAGCGUUUUGAUUCGACUUCAACUGGCGUUGUAGCAGACCUGCCCACGCCUCAUCUUCAGCAUUUCAUUUGACUUCGACUGUCGUUGUAGCAGACCUGCCCACGCCUUCAGCGUUUUGAUUUGAC